This 446-nucleotide ribosomal RNA is filed under the name uncultured bacterium. RNAcentral describes it as "partial 16S ribosomal RNA". It matches the Rfam family "Bacterial small subunit ribosomal RNA", at positions 338 to 795 of the family's 1533-position model. The record is from RNAcentral.
CCUACGGGGGGCAGCAGUCGAGAAUCAUUCACAAUGGGGGAAACCCUGAUGGUGCGACGCCGCGUGGGGGAAUGAAGGUCUUCGGAUUGUAAACCCCUGUCAUGUGGGAGCAAAUUAAAAAGAUAGUACCACAAGAGGAAGAGACGGCUAACUCUGUUCCAGCAGCCGCGGUAAUACAGAGGUCUCAAGCGUUGUUCGGAAUCACUGGGCGUAAAGGGUGCGUAGGCGGUUUCGUAAGUCGUGGGUGAAAGGCGCGGGCUCAACCCGCGGACGGCACAUGAUACUGCGAGACUAGAGUAAUGGAGGGGGAACCGGAAUGCUCGGUGUAGCAGUGAAAUGCGUAGAUAUCGGGCGGAACACUCGUGGCGAAGGCGGGUUCCUGGACAUUAACUGACGCUGAGGCACGAAAGCCUGGGGAGCGAAAGGGAUUAGAUACCCCAGUAGUC